UCUAAAUAUAUUAGAGAAGUGGUUCUCAGGGUGUGGUCCCAGACCAGCAGCACCCCGGAAGCUGGCAGAAAUGCGGACUCUCAGACCCUACCCCAGCCCCACUGAAUCGGAAGCUCCGAGGGCAGGGCCCAGCAGUCUGUUUCAACCAGACAGAUGAAGUUGGAGAAUCACGUGCAGACCAUCAGAUUCUGAAGUCUAGGACACAUCAAAAUCACCUGGGAGCUUGUUAAAAAUACAGAUUCCUGGGCUCAAAGCCAGGGAUUGAGCAGGUGCAUCUGGCAUCCAGAUUCCACAUCGCACUGGGCUUUCUGCAGGAGCAAGGAGGUCUUCAUAGAGCCCGGCCCAAGGGAUCUAAUGUCAGAGGUUUCCCUGAAAUCACCCUUCGCCCUUGAGAACCCCCAACAUCGCCUCAGUGUCCAGUCACGUUGAGUAACACACUGCCUCCAGCUCAUUGUUUUGAGGUCCUGACUCCCUGCGUAGCAGAGAUCUGUGUCCCAAGCAGGGCUUGGUUUGGUGUGACACGGAAUCGAAAUCCCUCUUUGCAGAAGAGGGUCUAGAACAUGCCACCUUGAACAGCUCUAGAACAUGCCACCUUGAAGAGACUCUAAAGUUAAGAGUAGAGAAGGAGUGUCUCGUCAGAACCUUCU
Neogale vison (American mink) is the source of this 647-nucleotide long non-coding RNA. RefSeq lists it as uncharacterized. NCBI's taxonomy places the organism in Eukaryota, Metazoa, Chordata, Mammalia, Carnivora, Mustelidae. The record is from RefSeq and is a predicted model, not a curated record. The transcript has 4 exons.